AGAGCUUGUUCCUGAAGCAUGGUGCUAAGUCCAUAUGCAGCAGAUGGAGCUCAUGAGAAAAGAGUUGCUCUUGUGAAGACCAAAGCUUGGUGAGGUGUCAGAUCCCCGGCGAUGGAAAGCAGUCAACUCAUGGGUAGUAAAAAGAAUGUAUUGACAACACUAUAGGUUUGAAAAGGAAAGUUUUAUUAGAUGGAAAGAACAGUGCAGAAGACCGCAGCAGAGGACCUCAGCAAGAGAGAACUAAAAAUGGUCAAUUACAAAGCACAACAUAAGACUGGAACAUUGGAGUUAAGUAGCAGAGAUCAAAAGAGGAGAUUGCAGAUGGAGGUGUUGUAUGUGAC
Molecule: long non-coding RNA, 341 nt
Filed under: Homo sapiens (human)
Lineage: Eukaryota; Metazoa; Chordata; Mammalia; Primates; Hominidae
Description: non-protein coding lnc-CXorf51B-1:2
Source: RNAcentral